Molecule: long non-coding RNA, 757 nt
Organism: Engraulis encrasicolus (European anchovy)
Lineage: Eukaryota; Metazoa; Chordata; Actinopteri; Clupeiformes; Engraulidae
Exons: 6
Source: RefSeq, a predicted model, not a curated record
UGAAUCUGUUGAUGUAUUUAUUUGCACUCCUGUAGUAAUUUACAGUCAUGAAAGCUAAAUUGUGACUUAACUUUUUUCCUCUCUCAGUAGGCUUUUACGGAUGUAUUGACCAGAUGUCCUGGAAGUGCCCCCUGAUGCAGACCCAGUUGUUGGGUAGCCACCCAUGCACGUUGACACAGCCCCCAGCAGUGGGCACCCAUGGGGAUGGACCCAGGAGUGGAGGAUGACCCAAUAGGUGGUGGGUAGCCACCCAUGCACGUUGACACAGCCAGCAGCGAGUACCCAGGGCGAUGGACCCAGAAGUGGAGGAUGAUCCAAUAGGAGUGCUGGAGCGAUAGGGGGCCAAUCAUCUCUAAUUGAAACCCUUAUAAAGACUCUGGGCGGCUCCGACUCACUCUCUCUCUCUUGAAUCUGGCUUCUUCAGACCACAGCCCUGACGGCCACACUGAGAAUGCAGACGAUGGUGGUGGAAUUAAUAACCUGGAUCAGGAGUCCUCUGACAGCAGAUCUGAAUGGGCACCUGAUGGUGAAGACAUUACAUGUGAGGAAAAGACACAUACUAGAGGGAGUCGAGGACUUGGCUGGCCUACAAAAUGUCACUAAGGGAUGCAACUGACAGCUGAAGUAGGAUCUUUUUUGUUUUUUGGCCAUGACAAUGCUUUGACAGUUGAUAAUAAACUGAUAAUUACGAUACUAUGUGCACACCAUUGUUUUUAUGGGAUUUUUUAAAAUAAUAAAAUGGAUGUACUCAUCGAAA